Molecule: RNA transcript, 1672 nt
Organism: Polypterus senegalus (gray bichir)
Lineage: Eukaryota; Metazoa; Chordata; Cladistia; Polypteriformes; Polypteridae
Gene name: methyl-CpG-binding domain protein 2-like
Exons: 8
Source: RefSeq, a predicted model, not a curated record
CUGGGAAGUGUAGAAAUUUCGGAGCGUCACGUCAGUGUCUCCUCCAUCGCCGCCGCUGCGGACUGGAGGUGUGGGCUUCUUGCAGAGUAGGGCAGGGUAGGGUAGUGCGGAGUUGAGCGGAGCGGCGCUCUACUGCUCAGAGUUCAGUCGUAGGGCAGACUGGUAGGGGCAGCUGAAAAAUUGCUCUUAAGUUUAUACCCAUCUGUGUAUUUGACAUCACUUAUAUAUAUAUAUAUAAACACAGUCUAGAUUACUUAUUACGGUGUGUGAGCUACGGCAAAAAAAUAUUGUAAAUGAUUAUGGAAAGGAAGAGGAUGGACUGCCCGGCUUUACCCCCGGGGUGGAAGAAAGAAGAAGUGAUCCGGAAGUCCGGACUGAGUGCUGGCAAAAGCGAUGUCUACUACUACAGUCCCAGUGGUAAGAAAUUCAGGAGCAAGCCCCAGCUGUCUCGUUACUUGGGGAACACUGUUGAUCUCAGCUGUUUUGAUUUCCGCACUGGGAAAAUGAUGCCCAGUAAAUUACAGAAGAGCAAACAAAGACUGAGAAAUGAUACUCUUAGUCAAUCCAAGGGCAAACCAGACUUAAACACAGCACUUCCUAUAAGACAAACGGCUUCCAUUUUUAAGCAACCUGUAACAAAAAUAACCAACCAUGAACAUAAUAAAGUAAAGAGUGAUCCUCAGCGGGCCACUGAACAGCCACGUCAGCUUUUCUGGGAAAAGCGAUUACAAGGUUUAAGCGCAUCAGAUGUAACCGAACAGAUCAUUAAAACUAUGGAUCUUCCCAAAGGUUUACAAGCUGUUGGUCCAGCAAAUACAGACCGAACGUUGCUCUGUGCGAUUGCGAGUGCUCUGCAUACCAGCUCUGCACCAAUUACAGGACAGCUGUCUGCAGCAGUUGAGAAGAACCCAGCCAUAUGGCUGAACACAUCUCAGCCCCUCUGCCAAGCUUUUACGAUCACAGAUGAUGACAUUCGGAAACAAGAAGAAAAGGUCCAUCAGGUAAGGAAGAAGCUGGAAGAAGCACUAAUGGCUGAUAUUUUGGCUCGAGCUGCUGAGUCAACAAAGGAUACAAGUUUGCAGAUGGAUGGCAGAAGAAAUACAUAGGAACAGGUUUAGCCACUCCUGACGACAAAAGAGAUUCCCAAUAGAAGUCAAGUCAAAUGCCAGUGAGAAAAAUUCCUGUUUUUGCACCAGAAGGAAGACCUCAAAACUCCCAAGAAAAUACUGAUAAGCAUCAUGUCAAAUGAAACCAGGAGGGCCCAGGCGCAGUUGUGCUACCUUUCUAAUUACCAGCUUAAACCAAGGCAUCUUUUAAUUGUUUUGUUGUACAUAUCUAUAUAUUAUUUCAGAGUAAUGUUUAUUUUAUGGCCAAUAUGACUCAUUUUAUAUUGAAUAGCACAUUUUAAUGUAAUAAAUAAAUUAAUGAAAUAUACAUAAAUAUAAGCCAGACUGCAAUUUUCUGGAUAUGUAUUGGAAGUUUUUUUAGCUUUUUUUUUGUUGGUACUGCUUUUUUAACCAGAAAGGGAUAUAUUGUCAGGGUUUUUACUGAAAUGGACAUAAUUUUUGAACUGAUGGGCAUUUAUUUAACAAAAGAGAUUUAUAUUCUAAAUAGAGAGAAUCCCUGUACAUUCUUGUGUCUAUGUAAAGUAAAUAAAUGACUAUAUUCACAA